RNAcentral lists this ribosomal RNA (582 nucleotides) under Thermodesulfovibrionales bacterium. RNAcentral describes it as "bacterial SSU rRNA". It matches the Rfam family "Bacterial small subunit ribosomal RNA", at positions 1 to 594 of the family's 1533-position model. Lineage: Bacteria; Pseudomonadati; Nitrospirota; Thermodesulfovibrionia; Thermodesulfovibrionales. The record is from RNAcentral.
UUUAAUGAGAGUUUGAUUCUGGCUCAGAACGAACGCUGGCGGCGUGCCUAACACAUGCAAGUCGAACGGAGUUUAUUUUGUAGCAAUACAAGAUAAACUUAGUGGCGCACGGGUGAGUAACACGUAGGUAACUUGCCCUUAAGAGGGGAACAACUCAGGGAAACUUGAGCUAAUACCCCAUAAGACCACGAACUGAAAUGUUAGUGGUAAAAGGAGUAAUCCGCUUAAGGAUGGGCCUGCGGCCUAUCAGGUAGUUGGUGAGGUAACGGCCCACCAAGCCUAAGACGGGUAGCCGGACUGAGAGGUCGAACGGCCACACUGGAACUGAGACACGGUCCAGACUCCUACGGGAGGCAGCAGUGGGGAAUUUUGCACAAUGGGCGAAAGCCUGAUGCAGCGACGCCGCGUGGAGGAUGAAGGCCUUCGGGUUGUAAACUCCUUUUGCAGGGGAAAAUAAUGAUGGUACCCUGCGAAUAAGCCACGGCUAACUCUGUGCCAGCAGCCGCGGUAAGACAGAGGUGGCAAGCGUUGUUCGGAAUUACUGGGCUUAAAGGGCGCGUAGGCGGUGAGAUAAGUCUGAGG